ACGCUGGCGGCAGGCCUAACACAUGCAAGUCGAGCGGUAGAGAGAAGCUUGCUUCUCUUGAGAGCGGCGGACGGGUGAGUAAUGCCUAGGAAUCUGCCUGGUAGUGGGGGAUAACGUUCGGAAACGGACGCUAAUACCGCAUACGUCCUACGGGAGAAAGCAGGGGACCUUCGGGCCUUGCGCUAUCAGAUGAGCCUAGGUCGGAUUAGCUAGUUGGUGAGGUAAUGGCUCACCAAGGCGACGAUCCGUAACUGGUCUGAGAGGAUGAUCAGUCACACUGGAACUGAGACACGGUCCAGACUCCUACGGGAGGCAGCAGUGGGGAAUAUUGGACAAUGGGCGAAAGCCUGAUCCAGCCAUGCCGCGUGUGUGAAGAAGGUCUUCGGAUUGUAAAGCACUUUAAGUUGGGAGGAAGGGCAUUUACCUAAUACGUAAGUGUUUUGACGUUACCGACAGAAUAAGCACCGGCUAACUCUGUGCCAGCAGCCGCGGUAAUACAGAGGGUGCAAGCGUUAAUCGGAAUUACUGGGCGUAAAGCGCGCGUAGGUGGUUUGUUAAGUUGGAUGUGAAAUCCCCGGGCUCAACCUGGGAACUGCAUUCAAAACUGACAAGCUAGAGUAUGGUAGAGGGUGGUGGAAUUUCCUGUGUAGCGGUGAAAUGCGUAGAUAUAGGAAGGAACACCAGUGGCGAAGGCGACCACCUGGACUGAUACUGACACUGAGGUGCGAAAGCGUGGGGAGCAAAC
This 745-nucleotide ribosomal RNA is filed under the name uncultured bacterium. Its description in RNAcentral is "bacterial SSU rRNA". It matches the Rfam family "Bacterial small subunit ribosomal RNA", at positions 33 to 773 of the family's 1533-position model. The record is from RNAcentral.